AAUAAAACAGCCACUUUUCACAAUGGCCGCCAAGAAGUCAGUAGGCUCAGUUUUUCUAAUUUACUGGAGAAUGUACAAAAGGUUUUAUGUAAGGUUUUGAAGUAUUUUGACGGAUAAUUAAACGAUAUUACUAUCUAAAACAUAUAUUGGGUUUACAGACAGGGUAGCCUAAAUUGGUAUCAGUAGUAUGCUUGGUAUAACGACUGGGCACUAAACGUAUCUGGUGUAUAGAGAAGGCAAAUAUGUAUCUUUGGCAUAUCGGCAGGCAAACUUGGCUUUUCAUGCAUGCCACUAUGGAUAUUCUUAGAACACAGACAGGCAAACUGUGUAUUUUUGGUAUGAUUUGUUUACAGACACGCCAUCCGAGGGACAAUAAUUGCUAUAGGGACAUUUGUUCUUGGGGGAGUUCUGUUCUUUGUCGCCUUGUUUGCCAUUGGGUUUAGCAUGUUCCUGAUCUCAAGCUACUACGCAGUACAGAUGUCGAGAAACAUCUUCACAAGACUUCUAGAUAAACUUCCAUACAUUCCAUUUAUAAGUGGUGACAGAACAGGAGAAAAAGAAGAGUGAACUUUGGGGAUAUAAAUAUUCGUUAACGAAAUAAAAAUUUCUUAAACAGUUUCAACAUGUUAGAAGUUGCUUUUGAAUACAACACACAUACCCGGUACAUGUAUUUAUUUGUUAUAUUAUAAUGAUAAAAUCAGAAUGAAAUUUGUGACAAAAUCUAUGUUAGAAUGUGUGAAUGAUUUGUUAUAAUUUAUGCAUAGUGUUCUUGAAAUGUGUACAAUAUAAAUGUAUAGAAAUUCAUACAUGUACCUAUUCAUGUUAUAUUCUAGUUGUUAAAACAACCACUUGCUGUCUUUCUUUAACCCAACCAUUUUUAUUUUCAAUAGAAAAAUACAUUUAAAUCUACAAAAAAAAUAUCAGUUAGGUUUUAUAAAUAAAGUUUGGACCAUCGUGCAUCAAAGACAUACAUGUAGCCUGUUUGCACAUAUUAAAGCUGGAAAGUCGCCAUAUGACCUAUCGGUGCAACGUUAAAUCCAAGGAAAAAAAAAAGAUUUUGGUGCAAUGUCAUAAUACAGAUUAUUCUAUUUGUUAUAAUUUCUUAAAGGUGCUCAGUCUAAUUUUAGUCAAUGACAGACAUGUCAUAGAUUUCCUUGAAACUUUUGAGACCAAUUGUUUAUUUACAUUUACAGUGUAAAAAAUUUCAUUGAACGCUUGAUGCAAAAAAGAUGUUCACUUAUGAAGUUGUUUUUUUUUUCCCGGUUGCCUGACUAUGACUUGAGUUCUUUUGAAUUUGAUAAAAUUAAUAUACUUUGCAUAAAAAAUGAGAUGAAUUUAACAAUGAUUUUAUCACAUUUGCCCAAGAUUUGAAAAGAGAAUUGUAUGUUUUUUACUGACAUUUCAUUAAAAUGAAAUUUUAUGAAGUCAUUAUUGUUGUGAAAAAACGUAAAUGAAUUGAUUAUAGUAAAUGUUUAGGCUUCAGCCAUUUUUAGCACAACUAUUCAAAGAAUAGGGAGGGUGUUUGUACUUGUCCAUGUAUUGCUGCAGGCUUUACUUUCAGGUUAAAGUUUUAUUGCAAGCUUUCUCAGUUUUACUGUAUCUUCUUAACUACUUCCCCUAUUAUCAUCAAAUUUCAAUUCAAUUCUUUAUUACUCUCAUUUCAUGAUACACAUGAUAAUUUGAGGCAAAAUACAAUAUUGACAUAUAAUAUAAUAUCAGUGAGGCUAAAUAUUAUACAUUUAACAUGAUUAUACAAAGGGAGAUGUUCCUUUCAACAGAAUAUAUAUAAUCAAAAACAUUUCAUUUGAAUAAUGCCUGACAAAAAAAUAUUCAUAUAUCACCACUUUCAUAAAUCACUGUAUUCAAAACAUCACUCAAAUAUUUUAAUAAUUUCCUUAAUAAACACAUUGCUUUCUAUAUUCAACAUGAUUGUUAAAAUUGGUUGUCAUUAAUUUUUCAAAUGAUAUGGUAUUAGGGUUCCUUAUGUAUUGUGGUUUAAUAAAUUUUUUUCUUGCAAUAUUUAAUGCUGAACAUUCUAAGAGAUAAUGAAACUCAUCGCCAAUAUUUUGAUUACAUAAUGUACAUUUUCUUAAGUCCAGAUAUGGCUUUGUCUUGGUUAGGGGCAGACAUUUGGUAGGUUAAGGUCAGAUAUACUAAAGGUCAAGGUCACUGGGGUUAAAUAUGAGCCAUGCCAUGGGAAAACCAACACAGUGGCUUUGUGACCAGCAUGGAUCCAGACCAGCCUGCGCAUCUGUGCAGUCUGGUCAGGAUCCAUGCUGUUCGCUUUCAAAGCCUAUUGCAAUUAGAGAAACCAUUAGCGAACUGCAUGGAUCCUGACCAGACUGCGCGGAUGCGCAGGCUGGUCUGAAUCCAUGCUGGUCGCAAAGCCACUAUGUUGGUUUUCCCAUGGCACGGCUCAAUUAUUGUAAAAGUGCUGGUUAAAAUUUUAUGGCAAGCUUCUCAGUUCCACUGUAUCUUCUUUACCAUUUCCCCUGUAGUGUCAGAGCUCACGCAAGGAUUGAUCUUAGUAAGGGGCAGACAUCUUUUGGUUAUUGGUCAGGUACAUUAAAGGUAAGAUUUUGUUAGUGUUGAUUAAGUUGAUGGCACACCUCACAAUUUCUUAAAUUUGCAUCUAAUGAUAUUUCUUAAUACCAUUAUUCCUCAUACCUUCAUUUCUUAACCAUAACCCUACUUCUACUCCCAUUCCUACCCAUUACAACUUUAAGGUAAAAAAAAUCUAUAUUUCUAUUGCAUUCAUUGUUACCUGUCAUUUUCACUUUGUUAUUAAUAACUAUUUAAAAGAGUCAAGCAUAUGGUCCUUCCGACAGCUCUAGUUUAAACUUGCAUUUUGGUUCAUAUUUGGGAAAUGUCCCAAUUUCUAUCAAAUGUAAAUUCUGUUUUAAUCAAAAGAAAUGUAGUGUACAGCUUUUAAUUAUUUUCACCGGAAAGGGGUGUAAUAAAAAAGUACAAUAAUACAGAUAUUUCUGAUGGAUCUAGCUGUAUGUGAUGAGUCUUUUUGUCUCUAACAGAAAAUAUGAAAAAAGGUUAAAUAUAAUAUUAUGUGUUGCUAAAAUGAGAUUGACCACCUUUAAGUAAUGACAUGUUAUGUUUUAUAAGUUUGUUAUUUUUUCAUGGAAAUUGAUUGUGAAUCAAAAAUGAAAAAUUGUUUUUGUUAUUUAUGCAUAAUAUUUUGAUACUAAAUAAAUUGUUUAUAUAUUU
Mercenaria mercenaria is the source of this 3219-nucleotide long non-coding RNA. RefSeq lists it as uncharacterized. The transcript is spliced from 2 exons. The record is from RefSeq and is a predicted model, not a curated record. NCBI's taxonomy places the organism in Eukaryota, Metazoa, Mollusca, Bivalvia, Venerida, Veneridae.